AGAUUCUCAGGAACCACACCAGGAUUUCGGAUUUAGAAUUGAUGGUGGUUGAGCCUAGACUCUGUAUUUUUAACAAGCUCCCUAUGUGAUUCUUUUUCAUGCUAAAAUUUGAGAGCAUCUGGCCUCCAGAUCAAGUGCAAACACUUCAGAAUUGCUGGUAAGUACCAUCUGACUCUGGCUUAGCGCCUUCUUUCCCUCAAUUCUUUCUACUCUUUCACCUCCCCUCUGCACUCCAGGUACGCCAAACUUUUUGCAGGUCCCCCUAAUACCAAGCUUUCUUACGUGUUAGCAACUUCAUAGAUGCUUGGUCUUCCACGUGAAGACCGCUGUAUGUCUGGCAAGUUGCUAUGUGCAUGUUCAUGUGAACGUGUGUAUUGCACACCUUGAGCUCUCAUGAGACUAAAAGUUUCUCCCAGGAAAAUGCAAGCUACGUAGCCAGAGGAACUGUGUGUUCUGAAAUCUCCAUUUUAAAAAACACCAUUCCAAGUUCAGGCUGUGUGCAAAACCAAGUUAUGGCUGAGAAAAAUGGAAUUAAUGUGAACUUGGUGUGCACUCAGUACAUAGGCACUUGAAUCUUUUAGCAACUUCUCUGUGGUUCGUGACUGAUUCUUUGGUUGACAAUUCAUUUCAGCUUUUUGGAGGGAGAUUUCAUGUUUGCUGGCAUCUCUACCAAUAAGCACACCAAUCGAAGUGGAAUUCAAAAAGGCUGUUUUGGUCACUUACCAAACCUCUCAUCAGAGAAAUGUUGGAAGAAGUAAUUUAAUUGAAAUCUCUAUAUGAUGAGAAGACUGUGCUCAGAGAUGGUAAGAAACUCAGAAGAGGCACCUGGUGAAUAGGAGAUGUCUGGAACUUGAAUGCAGGAAGAAGUGGAUACUUUCAACGGGAGAAACUCGAGCAUCAGAUUUGCUCCUUGGAGCAUUAAUAAAAGGGCUCAGUUAGCCUCAUCUCAUUAUUUUACUAUGAGUAUUGACUUUGGCCUAGAGUCAUGUAUAGAUAAAAUGGUGCAAGGGCUUGUCCUAAGUGAUUACUCAGAAUUACAAAUCAUUUCACGUGUAACUGAAUACUGCCGUCUAGCUGGCACCCUGCCCCUUGCUUCUCCCCCUCCCCUUCCUCUAAUAGGAGCGCAAAUCCAGCUUUGUCUGAAGAGGCAAUUAAUCUUAUUCACUGAAAGCCGAAUUUUAAUUCACCAGCAUGUGGAGGACAUAUUUGCCUAUCACACAGAAUUAGUUUAACAGAGAAUUUAGACAAAAAAGAUAUUGGAGGUCUUGGCAUUCUUUGGCAGGCAAAAUAUCUUGUAGGUACAUUCCUUUAUUAGCCAUCUACAUACUACAAAUAAGCUUCUUGUAAUAAUAACUCUAUUAGGGUAAACUGGGUUUAUUUUGUAUUUGAAAGUGGCUGAUUACAUUUUAUUUCAUGUAAAGAAACCCACAAGAUAUGUGUGUUUUGGAGGAAAAUGAACAUAAGGUGAGAGAGAUAAAUUUUAGUUUUCUAGAGAUUCUAAAAGGCUAUUAUUUUUAAGGGCACAGUUUAAAGAUGAUCAGAAAAAUAAAGGGACACAUAAAAAUCCUAGACAGCCUACAUACAUCCAAAUCUAAUCCUGCAGAAGGGUAAGUGGUAAGGUAUGAGGUAGACACCAUUGCCAGCACCACACUAGGACUCUCAUGUGAAAUCUGUGAGGGCAAAUACCGGAUUUCCCCAGUGCUUCUGCUGUGCUCUAUUUUAAUUUUCCCCUGAGCAAGGCCUUAGUGUUUUAUCUGAAGUUUGUUUCACAUGUAGACAAAGUGUAAAAAAGAAAAACUUCCUGAAGCAGUUUCUUAAUUCAAGAGAUUUAGACAGGAAUAUGAUUUAAUGCAUGUCCAUGCUUG
RNAcentral lists this long non-coding RNA (1865 nucleotides) under Equus asinus (donkey). RNAcentral describes it as "lncRNA (ENSEASG00005036569.1, ENSEASG00020038260.1)". The record is from RNAcentral. Lineage: Eukaryota; Metazoa; Chordata; Mammalia; Perissodactyla; Equidae.